Molecule: long non-coding RNA, 414 nt
Filed under: Durio zibethinus
Lineage: Eukaryota; Viridiplantae; Streptophyta; Magnoliopsida; Malvales; Malvaceae
Description: long non-coding RNA (DZIB_LNC001630)
Source: RNAcentral
CUCCUUCUAGCUGAGGUAUAUAGAAGAAUAGACAUCAUUUCUUUAUCCAAGUUUUACUAGGGCAUUAUUUUCUCCAGCCUGGUUCUUGAAAUCCAUUCAUCGUCAGAAAGAAAUUCUUAUGUGGGCUUUAAAUAUUACUAAAAAAACUAGUAAAUACUUUAACAAUUUAACGUUCAAAACAUAGUUCAUCCAUCUAUCUAAAGAGAGGAAAAAAACGUACCUUCAGCAAAUAACGUAUCCCAUAAGGGGAAAAAAAAAACUCUUGAGGAGAAAUUUACAACAUAUGAGAAAAGAUUGUCAAGCUGCUGUUUGUCCGCAAAGGAUAAAGGCUUGAAUAAGGCUCUGUGCAGUACGCAACUGAUCUGAUGUUCCGGACACUACAACUAAACCCUCAGCAGCCCCCGGCUUUGGNNN